UCUCAGUUCGGAUUGGAGUCUGCAACCCGACUCCAUGAAGCUGGAUUCGCUAGUAAUCGCGCAUCAGCCACGGCGCGGUGAAUACGUUCCCGGGCCUUGUACACACCGCCCGUCAAGCCAUGGAAGCCGGGAGUGCCUGAAGUACGCGACCGCAAGGAGCGUCCUAAGGUAAAACCGGUGACUGGGGCUAAGUCGUAACAAGGUAAC
This 207-nucleotide ribosomal RNA is filed under the name uncultured bacterium. RNAcentral's name for it is "partial 16S ribosomal RNA". It matches the Rfam family "Bacterial small subunit ribosomal RNA", at positions 1286 to 1500 of the family's 1533-position model. The record is from RNAcentral.